This 2292-nucleotide long non-coding RNA is filed under the name Homo sapiens (human). RNAcentral describes it as "HSALNT0357295". Lineage: Eukaryota; Metazoa; Chordata; Mammalia; Primates; Hominidae. The record is from RNAcentral.
AUCAGUUAACUUUAUUUUUGAAUAACAUAUACAAGGAAAUAACUCAAGAAAAACAUCAUCAUGGGGAAGAUAAUAUUGUCUCUCUACCUAUUUGUCUCUAUUUCUACAUAUCAGCAGGUAGUCAACUAAGACAGGGGUUGGAGGACGAGCUAAUUGUCAUUAAUGCCCCUGAUUGAAAAACAUUCAACCUAGUCUAAAAAAUAGCUUUGAAAGUAAGCAGUGCAAGAUUCUUAUUUUAAAAAACUUAAGCCAGCCAUGGUGGCUCACACCUGUAAUCCCAGCACUUUGGGAGGCUGAGGCCGGCGGAUCACUUGAGAUCAAGUGUUCCAGAUCAACCUGGCCAACGUGGUGAAACCCUGUCUCUGCUAAAAAUUCAAAAACUAGCCAGGCAUGGUAGCAUAUGCCUGUAGUCCCAGCUUCUAGGAAGGCUGAUGCAGGAGAAUUGCUUGAACCCGGGAAGCGGAGGUUGCAGUGAGCCAGGAUCUCCAGCCUGUGUGACAGAGUGAGACUCCAUCUCAAAAAAAACCAAAAAACAAACACAAAAAAACCAACAACAACAAAAAAAACUUCAUCACACAUCAGGUCACAAUAAGAUCUACAUGGCUGUAAAAAACUCUCUAACGUUAACUUCACAAGCUUACAUUACUAUUUUCCUUAAUGACAUUUGAUAUUUGAGGUGGUCUGGGUUGUGUUCCUUCUCUUCAAAAUAUACAAUUGGUAUUCUGCAUUAUUCGUUAGAUGCUCUGACUUUGAAAAUCUAAAUGAGAAAGCAAUAUUGACAUGUAUUUGUCACUUUUAUAAAAGUAAGUAUUCAGUAACUGUUAUUCAAUUAGUUAUCCUCCAAAAUUGAGAAGGCCCAAGAAUGACUGGAGUUUUAUAUAAGGGAAGUUAUCUUGGAAAUUUCUACUUACAUAUCAUGAAUAUAUAUUAUUGUAGUCCUACUAGAUAUAUGUGCAAUUUCUUAACUUCACUUAAUUUCUUCCUUCCUGCUAUACUACAUUGCUUAAUUUACUCUUGCACAAGCCACCAUGAAGUUGACACAGCUACCUUUACAAGCUAUCAUCACAUUUAAAAUCAUCUUCCGCAACAAGCCAUUUUCAGUUGCCUAAUUCAGACUAUUCUUCCCCUAUCAGCUCACAGAGCACCUAUUAUAUAACUAUAUCAACAUUUAUCACAUAAUUAUAAUUGUGUGAUUUCUUGGCUAUCACUCCGUCUAGACUGCAAAUCUCUGGAGGAAGAACAUAUUCCGUUCAUCUUUGUUUCCUAGCACCUAACACAGGGAUUGUCACAACAGAAAUGCUUGGAAAGGUUUCUUAUGAAGUAACAGGAAUCCAUUUCCGAGCAUUUCUGAGAAUGAGGAAGGUGGGGAUCUCUGGGUUCUUGGAGAUUUGUAUCUGUCAAUCUGAACAGACCACCUACUUUUUCUCUCCCAUUGUUAACCAUCUGUGAGGAACCAUGACUAUCAAUUCCACAAAGAAGCUUAACCAUGCAACACAGGUAUUGGGGAAUCACAAACUAUUUCUGUUCUGCUUCCAUAUGAAAAUUGGUGAUGCCUAAGAAGAGGUUAUAAAGAAUCUGUUUUUCUUAAAUCUCUUUGUCUCUUUGAAAAUCUCUGUGCACGACUUUCUUCAUUAAGUGCCAAACUAAUAGGGCUUAAAAAUGACUCAGCUAUAAAAGAACUUCUAGUUCUGCAAAGACAUACUUGUUUUCUUGAAUCUGUUUGGUGUAUCAAAACUAAAUGCCAUGGUAACCAGAAACUGUGGUGGAUUUUGUGAAAUGCCUUCCUUUGACUUAAUCUAGAUAGUAAGUUUAUUUUUCCAUCUUACUCUCCAUUUGCUUUAGGCUUUUCAUCUGUUCACUUUACCCUAAUAUCCUUUCACAGUGAGGUAGAAAAUACACAAUAAACGACAGAAAAUAUAGUAACAUGUAAUUGAAAUGCUGGCUCAAAGCUGGUACAGACACAAUUAAAUCUCAUUUGUGAUGAGUUAUGUUUCACAGGCAUUUUAAGACAUAUGCAUAUCGGGAAGCUAUAAUCCAUGCAUUUUACCUUAUCUUUUUUUUCCUACUCCGGAAAGAAAUGAAAACAAAAUUUAACUUUUGAGGUAAUUUAGAACUCAAUUUCUUACACGAAAUAAAGGCAAGGCCAUGUUGAAAAUAAUAUUGUUUAACUAUAAGUUAUUUGAAGAAAUUUUAAUGCUUCUCUAAAGUUAAAAAAAGAAUUUUAAAGAGAAUUAAAAAGUAAAAGCAGCCACAACUCUAUGAAUAUAACACCACUUGAAAAUUCAAGGUGAA